Molecule: long non-coding RNA, 377 nt
Organism: Alligator sinensis (Chinese alligator)
Lineage: Eukaryota; Metazoa; Chordata; Crocodylia; Alligatoridae
Exons: 4
Source: RefSeq, a predicted model, not a curated record
UGGCAGCCAAGGGGGAAGGAGCCCUCCUAGAGGAAGGGAAGAGGCCCAACUAAGUGCUGCUCCUGUCUUGCAUAAACUGUUCCAUUACCUUGCCUGGCACCGAUGACAUCCUAAAUGGCCUAAAGGACAGGGCAUCCCACUGGCCCAUUUUGAACACUGAGUGAAGCACUUUUCAGCUGAGGCACCUGUGUAUCACUCUCUACAGCUGCAUGACAAAGGCACCAGAUGGAGCAGAUCAUUAUGAGGGAGGAAAUAAAAGGCCACAACUGAGUGGCCAAAGAAUAUAUGUUGCUAGAAGACCUCAAUGCAAAUUACAGAUGCAGCUCAAAGAAACAGAUGAAAAGGCUGGUCAUUGCAUACAUAGAUUGAAAAUGCUG